CCUACGGGAGGCAGCAGUGGGGAAUAUUGCACAAUGGGGGAAACCCUGAUGCAGCGACGCCGCGUGAGUGAAGAAGUAUUUCGGUAUGUAAAGCUCUAUCAGCAGGGAAGAAGAAAGACGGUACCUGACUAAGAAGCCCCGGCUAACUACGUGCCAGCAGCCGCGGUAAUACGUAGGGGGCAAGCGUUAUCCGGAUUUACUGGGUGUAACGGGAGCGCAGACGGCAGUGCAAGUCUGGAGUGAAAGCCCGGGGCCCAACCCCGGAACUGCUCUGGAACCUGUGCGGCUAGAGUACUGGAGGGGCAGGCGGAAUGCGUAGUGUAGCGGUGAAAUGCGUAGAUAUUAGGAGGAACACCAGUGGCGAAGGCGGCCUGCUGGACAGUAACUGACGUUGAGGCUCGAAAGCGUGGGGAGCAAACAGGAUUAGAUACCCUUGUAGUC
Molecule: ribosomal RNA, 441 nt
Filed under: uncultured bacterium
Lineage: Bacteria
Description: partial 16S ribosomal RNA
Rfam family: Bacterial small subunit ribosomal RNA
Source: RNAcentral